Molecule: ribosomal RNA, 855 nt
Filed under: mercury-resistant bacterium mCFU 466
Lineage: Bacteria
Description: bacterial SSU rRNA
Rfam family: Bacterial small subunit ribosomal RNA
Source: RNAcentral
UGCAAGUCGAACGAUGGUCCCCAGCUUGCUGGGGGGAUUAGUGGCGAACGGGUGAGUAACACGUGAGUAACCUGCCCUUGACUCUGGGAUAAGCCUGGGAAACUGGGUCUAAUACCGGAUACGACUCCCUGCCGCAUGGUGGGGGGUGGAAAGCUUUUGCGGUUUUGGAUGGACUCGCGGCCUAUCAGCUUGUUGGUGGGGUAAUGGCCUACCAAGGCGACGACGGGUAGCCGGCCUGAGAGGGUGACCGGCCACACUGGGACUGAGACACGGCCCAGACUCCUACGGGAGGCAGCAGUGGGGAAUAUUGCACAAUGGGCGGAAGCCUGAUGCAGCGACGCCGCGUGAGGGAUGACGGCCUUCGGGUUGUAAACCUCUUUCAGUAGGGAAGAAGCGCAAGUGACGGUACCUGCAGAAGAAGCGCCGGCUAACUACGUGCCAGCAGCCGCGGUAAUACGUAGGGCGCAAGCGUUAUCCGGAAUUAUUGGGCGUAAAGAGCUCGUAGGCGGUUUGUCGCGUCUGCUGUGAAAGACCGGGGCUCAACCCCGGUUCUGCAGUGGGUACGGGCAGACUAGAGUGAUGUAGGGGAGACUGGAAUUCCUGGUGUAGCGGUGAAAUGCGCAGAUAUCAGGAGGAACACCGAUGGCGAAGGCAGGUCUCUGGGCAUUAACUGACGCUGAGGAGCGAAAGCAUGGGGAGCGAACAGGAUUAGAUACCCUGGUAGUCCAUGCCGUAAACGUUGGGCACUAGGUGUGGGGGACAUUCCACGUUUUCCGCGCCGUAGCUAACGCAUUAAGUGCCCCGCCUGGGGAGUACGGCCGCAAGGCUAAAACUCAAAGGAAUUGACGGGGGCCC